Molecule: ribosomal RNA, 791 nt
Filed under: uncultured fungus
Lineage: Eukaryota; Fungi
Description: eukaryotic LSU rRNA
Rfam family: Eukaryotic large subunit ribosomal RNA
Source: RNAcentral
CCCGCUGAACUUAAGCAUAUCAUUAAGCGGAGGAAAAGAAAAUAACAAUGAUCCCCCUAGUAACGGCGAGUGAAGCGGGGAGAGCUCAAGCCGAAAAUCUGGAAGCCUUGCGGUUUCCCGAAUUGUAGCCUCGAGAGGUGCUGUCAGUGUGUGACCUGGGUAUAAGUCUUUUGGAAAAAGGCAUCAUAGAGGGUGAGAAUCCCGUCUUUGACCCAGAGUACGCCACGUACGACACACUUUCACAGAGUCGAGUUGGUCGGGACUCCAGCUCUAAAUGGGUGGUAAGAUUCAUCUAAAGCUAAAUAUUGGCGGGAGACCGAUAGCGAACAAGUACCGUGAGGGAAAGAUGAAAAGAACUUUGAAAAGAGAGUUAAAAAGUACUUGAAAUUGUUAAGAGGAAAGCGAUGGAAACCAGUCGUGCCCGGUGCAAGUAAAGCUUUCGCUGGCGAAGGGGGUUCUCUCUGGGUGGUUAUACCCCGGUCUGGGCUUCGGACGUCUUGUGGGGGUGGACCUUGUGUUGGGUGGGUCAGCAUCAAUUUGGUGUUCGGGAGAAAGCUAGGGGGAAGCUGAGUUCGGCUUCGGCUGUUCUUGUAUAGCCCUUUGGCCCUACCGGGUGCUGGAUUGAGGAUUGACAACACGCGCCUUCUGGCUUGGAUCCCUGCUCCUGCGUCGUUAACGGUCUUGGACAGGAAACCUGUGCUUAUCGUGAAGCGGCGUACUGGGUAGGUGUAUUCAUAUGUGUGUUCGCGAUGCUGACGAAAUGGUUCUCAUCGACCCGUCUUGAAACACGG